AGAUCUUCAUUUUGUCAAGGGAAAGUUUAUGAUGCAUCAACACACUAUCAGUGUGGGUUAUAUGGUAUUAAACUGUGUCCAACAAAAAAAAAGGAAAAAUUUAAGACAUGCUUGUUGGUCACACUUUUUAUGUGUGUUGGAAACACAUCUGACACUUCAAAGAUCUUUUUUUGUUCUAAAAAUUUUUUACAUAGUAAUAAAAUCAACAAAUAUUGU
Molecule: unclassified non-coding RNA, 216 nt
Filed under: Hevea brasiliensis (rubber tree)
Lineage: Eukaryota; Viridiplantae; Streptophyta; Magnoliopsida; Malpighiales; Euphorbiaceae
Source: RNAcentral